This 713-nucleotide ribosomal RNA is filed under the name uncultured organism. RNAcentral's name for it is "bacterial SSU rRNA". It matches the Rfam family "Bacterial small subunit ribosomal RNA", at positions 102 to 839 of the family's 1533-position model. The record is from RNAcentral.
ACGGGUGAGUAACGCGUGGGAAUCUACCUUGUAGUGGGGAAUAGCCUUUCGAAAGAGAGGGUAAUACCGCAUGUUUCCAAAUUUAUUUGGAAAAAGACUUCGGUCGCUAUAAGAGGAGCCCGCGUCCUAUCAGGUAGUUGGUGGGGUAAUAGCCUACCAAGCCAAUGACGGGUAGCCGGUGUGAGAGCACGACCGGCCACAAGGUCACUGAAACACGGGGCCUACACCUACGGGUGGCAGCAACCGGGAAUAUUGCGCAAUGGGCGAAAGCCUGACGCAGCGACACCGCGUGUGGGAAGAAGCUUUUCGGAGUGUAAACCACUGUGGCAAGGGAAGAAUUUUUGACGGUACCUUGCUAGAAAGCACCUGCUAACUACGUGCCAGAAGCCUCGGUAAUACGUAGGGUGCAAGCGUUAUCCGGAUUUAUUGGGCGUAAAGAGUUCCGCAGGCGUCUUUACAAGUUUCUUGUUUAAGCCUGAGGCUCAACUUCAGAAAAGCAAGAAAAACUGUAAAGAUUGAGUUUGUUUGGGGAAGCUGGAAUUCUCGGUGGAGGGGUGAAAUCCGUAGAUAUCGAGAGGAACACCAAUCGCGAAGGCAAGCUUCUAAAACAAUACUGACGCUAAGGGACGAAAGCUUGGGUAGCAAAAGGGAUUAGAGACCCCUGUAGUCCAAGCCGUAAACUUUCCUCGCUAGUUGCCUGGUUAAUAAUGCAU